Hyla sarda is the source of this 767-nucleotide long non-coding RNA. RefSeq lists it as uncharacterized. The transcript is spliced from 7 exons. Lineage: Eukaryota; Metazoa; Chordata; Amphibia; Anura; Hylidae. The record is from RefSeq and is a predicted model, not a curated record.
UCAACUCCCAGUAUGACCAGACAACAGUUGGCUGUCGGGGCAUGCUGGGAGUUGAAGUUUUACAAAAUCUGAAGGGUCACAGUUUGAGGCCACUGUAAGCUGUACAGGACCCUAAAGAGACACCUGUCUUCUACAUGAGACUGCUGUCUGCAAGAACCUGCUAACUGGAAAGAUGCAUAGAAGGAUUAGGAGAAAGAACAGGUGUUAAGAAGAAUAUACCAAGUUGCAACAAAAAAUAUACCAAGACACAACUCCAGUGGGCAAAGGAGUGCAAAAGCUGGAUCGCCUUUAGGCCCUGUUCGUGAGGUAUCCAACUCUAGAGCGAUUCUACGUCGAUACUUGCCAAUAGUGUUGAAUUUUCAACGGGAACUUCUGCUAUCCGAUGCUUUCGUCCACUCUUUUACGUCUCAGGUGAGAAGAAAACAUUGUUAAGUUGUUUUCUGGACGGAGAAGAACAUUAGAGCAAAUGGAACAAGUGUAUAAAUCAAUUUCCAUAUGUUGUCCAUUUAUGACAGGGAAAGACUUAAUAACAAUCUCAAUAAAGACAUGGGGAUAUCCUUCAGAAGCUUGUGACUGAGGCUUGAGAUUGAGGAGAGACAACCAGCCUGGGCCAGCCAACAGACUGCAAUAGUCUAAGGGCUGCAGUCUUCAAGCCGGCGUUAUCCAGGAUUAGAAAUAGAUACAGGUAUCCACACAACCUAUCUGGCACGCAUGACAAACCGGCAAGUCCAUGUAGGAAAGCCCUGGCGUGGCAAGAAGACAUACAU